AUUGAACGCUGGCGGCAGGCCUAACACAUGCAAGUCGAGCGGAUGAAGGGAGCUUGCUCCUGGAUUCAGCGGCGGACGGGUGAGUAAUGCCUAGGAAUCUGCCUGGUAGUGGGGGAUAACGUCCGGAAACGGGCGCUAAUACCGCAUACGUCCUGAGGGAGAAAGUGGGGGAUCUUCGGACCUCACGCUAUCAGAUGAGCCUAGGUCGGAUUAGCUAGUUGGUGGGGUAAAGGCCUACCAAGGCGACGAUCCGUAACUGGUCUGAGAGGAUGAUCAGUCACACUGGAACUGAGACACGGUCCAGACUCCUACGGGAGGCAGCAGAGGGGAAUAUUGGACAAUGGGCGAAAGCCUGAUCCAGCCAUGCCGCGUGUGUGAAGAAGUUCUUCGGAUUGUAAAGCACUUUAAGUUGGGAGGAAGGGCAGUAAGUUAAUACCUUGCUGUUUUGACGUUACCAACAGAAUAAGCACCGGCUAACUUCGUG
Molecule: ribosomal RNA, 484 nt
Filed under: uncultured bacterium
Lineage: Bacteria
Description: partial 16S ribosomal RNA
Rfam family: Bacterial small subunit ribosomal RNA
Source: RNAcentral